CAGCAGCCGCGGUAAUACCAGCGCCCCAAGUGGCAACCACGUUUAUUGGGCCUAAAGCGUUCGUAGCCGGUUACAUAAAUCUUCUGUGAAAUUGUAUCGCUCAACGGUACAGCGUGCAGGAGACACUGUGUAACUAGGGACCGGGAGGAGUCAGAGGUAUUUCAGGGGGAGCGGUAAAAUGCUAUAAUCCCUGGAAGACCACCUGUGGCGAAGGCGUCUGACUAGAACGGAUCCGACGGUGAGGGACGAAAGCCAGGGGAGCAAACCGGAUUAGAUACCCGAGUAGUCCUGGCCGUAAACUCUGCGGGCUAGGUGUCGCAGAUUCUUCGUGAAUCUGCGGUGUCGUAGCGAAGGCGUUAAGCCCGCCGCCUGGGGAGUAUGGUCGCAAGGCUGAAACUUAAAGGAAUUGGCGGGGGAGCACUACAAGGGGUGCGGCGUGCGGUUUAAUCUAAUUCAACGCAGAGAAUCUCACCAGGGGCGACGGCAGGAUGAAGGUCAGUCUAAAGGGCUUACCUGACGAGCCGAGAGGUAGUGCAUGGCCGCCGUCAGCUCGUGCCGUGAGGUGUCCUGUUAAGUCAGGUAACGAGCGAGACCCACAUCUCUAAUUGCUAACGGCCUUUGGGACCGAGCACCUUAGAGGGACUGCCUGGGAAACCAGGAGGAAGGUGUGGGCAACGGUAGGUCUGUAUGCUCCGAAUCUCCUGGGCUACACGCGCGCAACAAUGGUUGGGACAAUGGGACGCAACCCCGAGAGGGGAAGCCAAUCCUCUAAACCCUAUCUUAGUCCAGAUUGUGGCUUGGAACUCAGCCACAUGACGAUGGAAUCCCUAGUAAUCGGGUCUCAUCACAGCCCGGUGAAUAUGUCCCUGCCCCUUGCACAC
This 881-nucleotide ribosomal RNA is filed under the name uncultured archaeon. RNAcentral describes it as "bacterial SSU rRNA". It matches the Rfam family "Archaeal small subunit ribosomal RNA", at positions 459 to 1344 of the family's 1478-position model. The record is from RNAcentral.